This 253-nucleotide ribosomal RNA is filed under the name uncultured bacterium. Its description in RNAcentral is "partial 16S ribosomal RNA". It matches the Rfam family "Bacterial small subunit ribosomal RNA", at positions 524 to 776 of the family's 1533-position model. The record is from RNAcentral.
UACGAAGGGUGCAAGCGUUACUCGGAAUUACUGGGCGUAAAGCGCGCGUAGGCGGCUUUGCAAGUCGAGUGUGAAAUCCCCAGGCUUAACCUGGGAACUGCAUUCGAGACUGCAUAGCUAGAGUAUGGGAGAGGGAAGUGGAAUUUCAGGUGUAGCGGUGUAAUGCGUAGAUAUCUGAAGGAACAUCAGUGGCGAAAGCGACUUCCUGGACCAAUACUGACGCUCAUGUGCGAAAGCGUGGGGAGCAAACAGG